Molecule: ribosomal RNA, 498 nt
Filed under: uncultured bacterium
Lineage: Bacteria
Description: partial 16S ribosomal RNA
Rfam family: Bacterial small subunit ribosomal RNA
Source: RNAcentral
AUUGAACGCUGGCGGCAUGCCUUACACAUGCAAGUCGGACGGUAACAGGUCUUCGGAUGCUGACGAGUGGCGAACGGGUGAGUAAUACAUCGGAACGUGCCCAGACGUGGGGGAUAACGAGGCGAAAGCUUUGCUAAUACCGCAUACGAUCUAAGGAUGAAAGCAGGGGACCGCAAGGCCUUGCGCGUUUGGAGCGGCCGAUGGCAGAUUAGGUAGUUGGUGGGAUAAAAGCUUACCAAGCCGACGAUCUGUAGCUGGUCUGAGAGGACGGCCAGCCACACUGGGACUGAGACACGGCCCAGACUCCUACGGGAGGCAGCAGUGGGGAAUUUUGGACAAUGGGCGAAAGCCUGAUCCAGCAAUGCCGCGUGCAGGAUGAAGGCCUUCGGGUUGUAAACUGCUUUUGUACGGAACGAAAAGGCCCUGGCUAAUACCUGGGGCACAUGACGGUACCGUAAGAAUAAGCACCGGCUAACUACGUGCCAGCAGCCGCAGUAA